Magallana angulata is the source of this 2463-nucleotide RNA transcript. RefSeq lists it as uncharacterized. The transcript has 16 exons. NCBI's taxonomy places the organism in Eukaryota, Metazoa, Mollusca, Bivalvia, Ostreida, Ostreidae. The record is from RefSeq and is a predicted model, not a curated record.
AAAAAGAUAAAACCGAAAGUAGAAUGUAGUUAAGUAGGGAUUUCCUUCCGUUAUUGAUUGUGCUGUUUACAGAAUGACUUUAUCAUGACAUUUUCUGCAUAACAUGGCGACGUAUUUGGAGAAAAAACUUUUAAGGGUAUUAGUUAGUGCUAAUUCCACCGAAAAGAUACCCAUUUUGGCCGCAACAUACGAAGAGUUAGUUGCUGAAUGCAAAAGAAAGCUUCCGCAUGAUGGUGGUGGGAAGCAUUUUGACCUUUACACCGAGGACAACACAAAAAUUGAUGAAGAUUUUUUCACCAGGAUCGGCGACGACAUCAUCGUUCGUCUUUCGACAGAAGCAUCUUUAGUUUUUCCAUCGAUCGUUUUCAAAGUUAAUUCGAAAAAUGGACUUUAUCAAAUCGGUGAAAGGAACUUGAUGGUAACUGUCAACUUAUCGGACAAAUACACCAGCUUCAUGGACGACUUCAAUAACAAAAUCGAGGACGAUGAGGAGAUAUUCUCCUUGGAAUGGUCAAGAUGGGAAGAGCACGCAAAGGUGUUUUCUUGUGGACUUAAAACAAAGGUUACUAAUGCCCUUGACGAGCACUUAUGUACAAUAGAACAUGUAAUACUAAAAUAUAUUGGAAAAGAAGAUUUCAAGGUUUUAAGGUCACUAACCGAAAAGUUUUUCGUUGAGUUCAAAGCCAUGAUGAGCGCUGUUUUUCAAGGAUGUCUAGACUUCCGUUUCAACUUUCUAUCUGCUGAUGAAAGAAUGGUCAUGAUGCAAGAUUUGCCAAAAGUUCAAUCCAUCUUAAAUCGCAUGUUGUUUCCACCAGACUUCGAAAAGGAUUACCCAGGGGUACAAUUAACUGCAACAAUCAAUCAUGAAUAUACAAGUGAUGGAGACACGUCCACUCAAUCAAGCAUUGAAAGUCGCAAUAUACAGUACUUGUAUCAGACAGAAGGGGAUACUGUAUCUGUCAAUUUAAGAUCCUUAGAAGGUGAACUUCUUCCGAAUGCUUCUCUGAAUAGUAUAUAUAGUGUUCUUCGAAAUUUCUCAGCAACCACUUCGUCUGCAAUUCAGCAGAGUGAAAGGAUACUGUACACCGUAUUGUGUGUAGAUAAAUCAAGCAGUCUCUCUGUCGCAGAGUUCUCCUCCAUAAAGAAAUGUGCUAUCGAAUUUUUCAAAGAGCUUGACAGAAACGCACAUAGUGAACUCCAUCUUGAACAAAAUGUUAACAGUGAUCCAUAUGGUAAACCCUAUCCGGACAUAAAUGUUAACAGGAACGAACAUAGAGAACCACAUUUGGACGAAAAUAUUGCCAUCCUCGGUUUUGGAGAUUCGCUGGAAUACCUCAGUGGUUUUUCUUUCAAGAUUCAAGACCAAAUUGCACUUAUGGAUCAAAUGGAAAAGGGGACUGUCCAGAGUUCAGGAUCAUUGCAAGUACUUGAGGCAGUCGUCACGGCCAACUUUCUAUUAAAAGAACAUGGCAAGAGACGAAACUUCGGAAAUGGGGAAGAAUUUCUUCCUCCUCGAGUAGUUUUAAUCUCGGGCAGUGGGUUUCCGGAUGUUCCGGAAUCCGGUGUAAAGCAGUUGAUUGAUCGGCUGGGAGACAAGGACAUGCGUUAUCCUGUUUAUUGUUGCAAUAUUCGAAGCUCUAGUAACCAAGAUCGGCUGUCGUUUUUAACAACACAUACAAAUGGCAAAUUAAUCACAAAAUCAAAGUCGUAUUUACUGGGAGCGUUUCACCGACUGAAAAUGAGGAAAACUUUGUCUCAAAACGAAAAGAAAGAAGAUUCUGUUGAAUCACAGGACAUUGAGUUCUUAUUUGGAUGAACUAUGAGGGCAAUUUGGCGACAAUGGUCUACGCUUGAUAAUAAAUUUAAAUAACUAAAAUAAUUGUUACAUGAUGACUAACAACGAAUAUCCUAAACAUUAAGUGAAAGGAUAUAAUAUUGACCACUUGUAAAAUGUACUGUAUUUUUUCAUACCGGUGAAGCAAACAUUGAAAACAUCUGUGCAAAUAUUCGUCUGAGAAAAAUAAUACAUUCAUUUUGGAGCUUCUGUAAGGUUAUACCAGUAAGAAAGUUUUAUAAAAUGAGUGUGACACUGGACAUGGCUUUACAUGUGAUGUGACAUUUUUGAACAUUGAACGCUUUUAAAAAAUGGAAUUCUUUAUGAUCAUGACGAUCUCACAUCAUCAUACCUCCAAAUGGAAAGAAAACAGAUCGACCAAACCAGUCAUUAGAAGAUUGCCAAUUCGUUAGUUAGUAGAGUUGGUGCCUUUACAAAGGAAACAGUUUGUCUUUGGCAGUCAGCAAUGUCACAAACUCUUUGCUUUCCGUUUUACCUCACCACUUCAAGUGGAUUCAAGUUAAUUGAGCACCAAGAUGUGAAACAGAAUCUGAACUUGCAACUUGACUGGUACGGCUAUGUCAAAUAAUAUGGAAAGGAAUGUUUGCAACAAUAGUGUAAUGUAUUCA